Molecule: small nucleolar RNA, 63 nt
Filed under: Erythranthe guttata (spotted monkey flower)
Lineage: Eukaryota; Viridiplantae; Streptophyta; Magnoliopsida; Lamiales; Phrymaceae
Description: Mimulus guttatus (spotted monkey flower) Small nucleolar RNA J33
Rfam family: Small nucleolar RNA J33
About the family: J33 is a member of the C/D class of snoRNA which contain the C (UGAUGA) and D (CUGA) box motifs.
Source: Rfam by way of RNAcentral
CAGUCAGAGGAAUGAUGUAUUACAGGAAAGCUCUAAAGUUACAAGCUUUUCUUGACAUGGCUG